This is a long non-coding RNA of Pogoniulus pusillus (Red-fronted tinkerbird), 534 nucleotides long. RefSeq lists it as uncharacterized. The record is from RefSeq and is a predicted model, not a curated record. The transcript is spliced from 3 exons. Lineage: Eukaryota; Metazoa; Chordata; Aves; Piciformes; Lybiidae.
CAAGGGAUCCUCUGCCUGGCUUCCCUGCAGCAUCACUGUGCCACAAUGGUUUCAUGAAUCCAGUAGCUGUAUCAGAAGCAAGCUUGCCUGGAAGUUCUGAAGCUGUGUUGGUGGUUGCAUCUUGAUUGAACCAGCAGGCUGAGAAGGAUUCAGAGCUCAGGUUGCAAGGAGCACACUGUAGUAAGGUGAGACACCUGCACAGUCUUCAUAUGCAUUGGGAACAGAAUUAGAGCCACAGAAUUCUGCAGGUGCCAUAUCCAGAAAAAGUACUUGCAAAAAGUAUUUAUUGAUGAUUGUGUAUGAUAAAUUAAUUUAUAAUUUUUCUUUUCUUGGCAAGAGUUACUUCACCUGUCUCUCACAGAAAAGGAAGACAAAUUUUGUAUUGCUUCUGCACACAUCUUUGUAAAGUUCUGGAUACAAAUUCUUUGCAUUUGGCGAUGGUGCAAAAAAGCUGAAGAAUGGAUUUUCAUUUUUAUUUUUCACAUCAAGGCUAAAGUGUUAGAAAGUGUAUUCUUUUCAGUUACAAAUAGAAGA